Osmerus eperlanus (European smelt) is the source of this 375-nucleotide non-coding RNA. Lineage: Eukaryota; Metazoa; Chordata; Actinopteri; Osmeriformes; Osmeridae. The record is from the annotation of a RefSeq genome assembly.
AUGACUCUCCAAGCUCUCAUCCCAGUGUCUCUCUCUCUACUCUGGCUCACAGGUCACUGCCAGAAGAGUGAUGUCACACAGCAGCCAGGAACGAUCUGGAGUCUUGCCCGGAAAACUGCAGAGAUGAACUGCAGCCAUGAGAAAGACGCGGGUCACGUUCAGAUGUACUGGUUCAGACAGCGUCCAGGGGAGUCUAUGAUGCUCAUCGUGUUCACAAGCGUUGGUCUGCAGCCGGACUACGGAGAUCUCAGUAAAACCAAAUACUCAGCUGUUAAAUCUGUAGCUCAGAACGGAGCGUUCACUGUAAAGGACUUGACACCAGAGGACAGCGGGCUGUAUUUCUGUGCUGUCAGCCAACACAGUGAUACAAACUGA